UGGGGAAUAUUGGACAAUGGGCGAAAGCCUGAUCCAACCAUGCCGCGUGUGUGAAGAAGGUCUUCGGAUUGUAAAGCACUUUAAGUUGGGAGGAAGGGCAUUAACCUAAUACGUUAGUGUUUUGACGUUACCGACAGAAUAAGCACCGGCUAACUCUGUGCCAGCAGCCGCGGUAAUACAGAGGGUGCAAGCGUUAAUCGGAAUUACUGGGCGUAAAGCGCGCGUAGGUGGUUUGUUAAGUUGGAUGUGAAAUCCCCGGGCUCAACCUGGGAACUGCAUUCAAAACUGACUGACUAGAGUAUGGUAGAGGGUGGUGGAAUUUCCUGUGUAGCGGUGAAAUGCGUAGAUAUAGGAAGGAACACCAGUGGCGAAGGCGACCACCUGGACUAAUACUGACACUGAGGUGCGAAAGCGUGGGGAACAAACA
RNAcentral lists this ribosomal RNA (427 nucleotides) under uncultured bacterium. RNAcentral describes it as "partial 16S ribosomal RNA". It matches the Rfam family "Bacterial small subunit ribosomal RNA", at positions 355 to 774 of the family's 1533-position model. The record is from RNAcentral.